CUUGGCUAUCAUGUGUAAAAUCAGACAAGUGUUCGGUAAACAGGAAGUUGUCAAGUGAUGAAUCUGAAAACGCAUCACACGGUGUGGCUGACAUAUAUAAAUGUUGAUACCAAAUUACAGAAAGGGUGGAUGUGUAGUUCCUGAGAAAAAUGUGACGAAAGUUUCAUGGGACGGACUGACUGACGGACUGACUGACGGACUGACUGACGGACUGACGGACGGACUGACAGACAGAGGUAAAACAGUAUACCCCCCCUUUUUUUAAGCGGGGGUAUAAU
RNAcentral lists this long non-coding RNA (278 nucleotides) under Mytilus galloprovincialis (Mediterranean mussel). The record is from RNAcentral. Lineage: Eukaryota; Metazoa; Mollusca; Bivalvia; Mytilida; Mytilidae.